Molecule: non-coding RNA, 80 nt
Organism: Podarcis lilfordi (Lilford's wall lizard)
Lineage: Eukaryota; Metazoa; Chordata; Lepidosauria; Squamata; Lacertidae
Source: the annotation of a GenBank genome assembly
GCCAUCAUAGCUCAGUGGGCAGAGCACCUGCUUGGAAUGCAGAAUGUUCCAGGUUCCAUCCCUUGUGGCAUCUCCAGGUA